This 465-nucleotide ribosomal RNA is filed under the name uncultured bacterium. RNAcentral describes it as "partial 16S ribosomal RNA". It matches the Rfam family "Bacterial small subunit ribosomal RNA", at positions 339 to 795 of the family's 1533-position model. The record is from RNAcentral.
CUACGGGAGGCAGCAGUGGGGAAUAUUGCGCAAUGGGCGAAAGCCUGACGCAGCAACGCCGUGUGAGGGAUGAAGGCUUUCGGGUCGUAAACCUCUGUCGGAAGGGAAGAACGGGCAUUGGUCUAAUAGGCCUUUGUUUUGACGGUACCUUUAGAGGAAGCACCGGCUAACUCCGUGCCAGCAGCCGCGGUAAUACGGAGGGUGCAAGCGUUAUUCGGAAUUACUGGGCGUAAAGCGCACGUAGGCGGCCUUGUAAGUCAGGGGUGAAAUCCCACGGCUCAACCGUGGAACUGCCUUUGAAACUGCAGGGCUUGAAUCCUGGAGAGGGUGGCGGAAUUCCUGGUGUAGGAGUGAAAUCCGUAGAUAUCAGGAGGAACACCGGUGGCGAAGGCGGCCACCUGGACAGGCAUUGACGCUGAGGUGCGAAAGUGUGGGGAGCAAACAGGAUUAGAUACCCUCGUAGUC